This 253-nucleotide ribosomal RNA is filed under the name uncultured bacterium. RNAcentral describes it as "partial 16S ribosomal RNA". It matches the Rfam family "Bacterial small subunit ribosomal RNA", at positions 524 to 776 of the family's 1533-position model. The record is from RNAcentral.
GACGGAGGGUGCAAGCGUUGUUCGGAAUUACUGGGCGUAAAGCGUACGUAGGUGGCGGAUUAAGUCGAAUGUUAAAGCCUGGGGCUCAACCCCAGAGAUGCAUUCGAUACUGGUUUGCUAGAGGGUGAUAGAGGAAAGCGGAAUUCCCAGUGUAGCGGUGAAAUGCGUAGAUAUUGGGAGGAACAUCAGUAGCGAAGGCGGCUUUCUGGGCCACACCUGACACUGAGGUACGAAAGCGUGGGGAGCAAACGGG